RNAcentral lists this long non-coding RNA (281 nucleotides) under Homo sapiens (human). RNAcentral's name for it is "HSALNT0074097". The record is from RNAcentral. Lineage: Eukaryota; Metazoa; Chordata; Mammalia; Primates; Hominidae.
CCUGCUUGAAAUAAAAAGUGCUUCUAAUAGGUUUAUAUCUAAACCCAGCAGUAUAUCUCCUUCUCGCGGAUUUAUACCUAAAUCACACCAUGAUUUUUAACAUCUGGUUUCUUUUGCCUCUCUCAAUAAUUUUUUGUUGUUGUUCAUUCCAUCAAAUGUGAGUUGAGAUGUGGGAGGCAUAAGGUCAAAUUCCUGAAAUUAAGUUAGAUUUUGAAAACACACUUGGAAUAGCAUUUCUAAAGUUUACCUGUGUACUUAAUAAAUAAAACCUUAAAAUUAGA